Oreochromis niloticus (Nile tilapia) is the source of this 67-nucleotide microRNA precursor. The record is from Ensembl. Lineage: Eukaryota; Metazoa; Chordata; Actinopteri; Cichliformes; Cichlidae.
UUAAAAACAGGCCCUGGUGACACAGGAGCUGCGGUGCAGCGGUGUGAGCAGGGCUGUGUUUUUGAGC